CCUACGGGGUGCAGCAGUGAGGAAUAUUGGUCAAUGGACGAGAGUCUGAACCAGCCAAGUAGCGUGAAGGAUGACUGCCCUAUGGGUUGUAAACUUCUUUUAUAUGGGAAUAAAAUGUUCCACGUGUGGGAUUUUGUAUGUACCAUAUGAAUAAGGAUCGGCUAACUCCGUGCCAGCAGCCGCGGUAAUACGGAGGAUCCGCGCGUUAUCCGGAUUUAUUGGGUUUAAAGGGAGCGUAGGUGGAUUGUUAAGUCAGUUGUGAAAGUUUGCGGCUCAACCGUAAAAUUGCAGUUGAAACUGGCAGUCUUGAGUACAGUAGAGGUGGGCGGAAUUCGUGGUGUAGCGGUGAAAUGCUUAGAUAUCACGAAGAACUCCGAUUGCGAAGGCAGUUCACUGGACUGCAACUGACACUGAGGCUCGAAAGUGUGGGUAUCAAACAGGAUUAGAUACCCUUGUAGUC
This 460-nucleotide ribosomal RNA is filed under the name uncultured bacterium. RNAcentral's name for it is "partial 16S ribosomal RNA". It matches the Rfam family "Bacterial small subunit ribosomal RNA", at positions 338 to 795 of the family's 1533-position model. The record is from RNAcentral.